This is a non-coding RNA of Mycena epipterygia, 94 nucleotides long. The record is from the annotation of a GenBank genome assembly. NCBI's taxonomy places the organism in Eukaryota, Fungi, Basidiomycota, Agaricomycetes, Agaricales, Mycenaceae.
GCCUUGGUGGCUUAACUGGUAGAGCGCCAGAUUUGAAUGGCAAUGAUUAUGCAAUAUUCUUCUGACGGUGCGAGUUUGAUCCUUGCCCAAGGCU